This 625-nucleotide ribosomal RNA is filed under the name Synodus variegatus (variegated lizardfish). RNAcentral's name for it is "partial large subunit ribosomal RNA". It matches the Rfam family "Bacterial large subunit ribosomal RNA", at positions 1854 to 2629 of the family's 2925-position model. RNAcentral also lists the same sequence under 1 other name. The record is from RNAcentral. Lineage: Eukaryota; Metazoa; Chordata; Actinopteri; Aulopiformes; Synodontidae.
AAUUCCGGCCCUGGCCCGUGGUGGACUAACGUUUUGAACGCGACCGGCGGGUAUCCUUGUACCGAUGCCGCAAGGUAGCGCAAUCACUUGUCCUUUAAAUGGGUGACCUGUAUGAAUGGCACAACGAGGGCUUAACUGAUCUCCCUGCUCCUCGCUCAAUGAAAACUGAAUCUCCCCGUCAAGAAGCGGGGAUUCUACUACUAGACGAGAAGACCCUAUGGAGCGUUGAUAACAAAGGAGGGCCUAUAAAAACCCAACGCACAAUAACACCAGAGUUGUCUAGCCCCCUCCCUAGUUUUUGGUUGGGGCGACCGUGAGAAAAAUAAAAAACCCCCACGGACAAAGGGACUACUAACACCUAAAACCGAGAGCGGCAGCUCUUACUAUCAAAACUUUUGACAGACUAUCCGGCUCAUAACUCCUAUCAACGGACCUAGUUACCCUAGGGAUAACAGCGCACUCCCCUCCCACAGCUCAAAUCGACCAGGGGGUUUACGACCUCGAUGUUGGAUCAAGACAUCCAAAUGGUGCAGCCGCUAUUAAAGGUUCGUUUGUUCAACGAUCAAUAGUCCUACCUGAUCUGAUUUCAAAACCGGUCUUACGUGAUCUGAUUUCAAACCGGAAG